CUCUCUCAAUCUCCCUCUCCCUCCCCCGAUCUCAACCCUCUCUCUCAAUCUCCCUCUCCCUCUCUUUCGAUCUCCCUCUCCCGAUCUCAACCCUCUCUCUCGAUCUCCCUCUCCCGAUUGAUUUUACUGCUGACAUUGCUUGCAGUUUCUGAAUACAAAUCAUGAUCUAUACAAUGCGGUGAUAAAAGCUGAGCGAGAAGGUCUUUUGCAAACAAAAGAAGCUCAAAGGGCAGCGCGUACUCUACAUGUGGACUUUGAGAAGGGAGGCAUCCAUCUCGGUGCAGGGAAAUUGGAACGUGUUAAUCAGCUGAACGUUGAGAUUGCUCAACUUGGCCGAGAGUACGUGCAUCUCAUUUCAGAACCAACCAAUGGACAUUCAUAAUCAGUUACAUCAGUUUCCUAAUGGUGAAACGGAUGACAAUUUUGCUCAGACUAUCAGUCUUAUUAAGGAAUACAAGUUCCCUCAUGUUCAUAUUUCACAAUUUUUUCCUGGACCAGGUAUGUUAUUCGAAUGAGUUCUAUUUACCCAUAUAGUUUCUGUCAGUUUAAUGAGUCAUGUUUUAAAAUAAAAUUGAAGUGGUACUGAUCCUUGGAAUUUUCUACCAAUCCAUCCGUCUUAGUUCUUCCAAAAUGGGAAAUGUUAGUUUGAAAAUUCAAUUCUUCUUUAUGAAGGCAUCACAUCAUGCAAAUUCAUUUAAUCUUUCUGCAUGUUUUAAGCAAUCGUUUGCCAUUUAUAUUGAAGAUGUAUUUUUUGCAACCCCUUGACAUUGACUAAAUCUUGCGAUUACACUCCUGGGAAUAAUCCAUUGAAAAAUGUACUCAAAAUUCUUUCAUUGUCCAUUGCUUUUAAACUCCAAAGACAAGCAAUUUGAUGGUGUUAGAAUUAAUAAAAUCUGGCAUAGGCACUUGGGGCAAACUUAAGAAGAUAUCAGUGAGGUAAAAAUAAUAAAUAAAUAAAAAGAAAAGAAAAGAAAAGGAAAAAGACAAUGCUAGAAAUAAGAAACCUGGCAUAGUCACUUGGGGCGAACUUGAAAAGUCAUCAGUUCCACGAACAGGUACUUUUCAUGAUCUCUCCGAUUUUUGUCACUUUUAAAGCCAUGCCCCAGGUGAUUUUUUCCUGUGUUUUAAUUUUCAUUUGCUUCAAUGUUUCUAGUACUUGUUAUACUAUUGCUUUUCAAAACUUUUACUACUAAUUUUUUUUUUUUGAAAUACAACCAGGACAAUUUUACCACUUCAAUGAAACUCUCUCUCCACAUAUCACAGUUCACUUGCUGCUUCAUCUUUCAUGGAGCUAGUUUGAGUGUUUGUUUGGUGUGAGCUGAUUUCUGGGGAGGACUUGUUCUCUCUUCAUUUAUUUGUAACACUAAUGUUGGUCAUUUUCUUCCACCACAUACAUUUUAUUACAAGCUCAUAGGCUAGAUGGUUAGCAUCAUCUGACUGAAGUUCUUCUUUAGAAUUACAAACAAUCCAUGCUAGGGGCUUUUUGUUAGAAAUAUGGAUAUGAAUGUAGGCAUGUUUGUGCUAUAAUCUGACUCAUGAUGCUAGAGGAUAAAAGGCAGGACACCAAAAGGGGACUUUUCUAUUUCUAUGAACAUGCAACGGAUUGGCGAUGAGGCUGAUGAUGACAACGAUCCAGAGUCGAAGCGCAGGUGGGAGUGGUGGAUUUUCCGGGACCUUGUUUCUACUUAUUUCCUUAUCCAAAAAAAUAAAAAUAAAACAAUGCUGUCCAUGUCCAAAAUAGGCUUGUCUUCUUUCAGUGAUUUGAGUAGUCUUUAAAAGAUAUUCAGGGAUUAAGUACCCAAGAAAGUGCAGAAAGGUUUUGUUUAUGCAUCUGCAGGAGAAGCUCACCAUUACUGAGGCAAAGUUAAAGGAGUCUCAGUAUCAAUUAGCCCCAUGGCGUUCAGAUGUAGUGAAUAACUCUAGUUUUGCACCUGAGUCUCUGUCUCAUUCCUUUGAAGUCUUGAAAUCGUGCCUCAGCCAACAUAUGCCCACGCACAUACACCAAUCUCUUCUCCUUUCAAUGCUCAGACAACAAAAAGAUAGACUGGGAAGUAUUAGGACACCAUAAUCACCAUAUUGGUGGUGUUGAUACAAAAAAUCUAGACCAUGAGAACUUGGGAAGGUUUUCUCCUUCUGCAAGCAGCAAAAAGUCAGAGUGAAGCCAAUCUCACGAUUCUUUAAAUGUGUGUUUGGAUGCUCAAGUUUGACCAGAUUUAUAUAGGCAAUGACCAAAAUGGAGGGAAGCCAUUUUUUUAAUUUCAUAGUGACGACAUGCCCCUAUUUCCAUUUCAUGCAUUUGUUCAUGUAGGGACUCAAAAUGAGCUUAUUUGUCAAUGAGAGAGUAAUUCAUGGACUGUCUUUUCACAUGAGCCAUAAUUUGUAUUUUCUUCUCUCUUGUAGGACUGCAUGAUUAAGAGAAAGUGAACCUGUUUGAUUGGAAUUGUAUAUUUCCCGGCAGCUAUAUGCAUACACAGUCACUGACUCGAUGGGAAAUAUAGUGGGCUCAUUUAUUUCAGGCUUCUUUAAAGUUGUUAGUACUUUAUUUGGAGCUCCGCUCGACUUUCUCGCAGGCAAAUCUUGCAGGUAAGCAUUAAGGAAGUGACUUUGUCUAAAAUUUCCUUUCUUAGAAGCAUUUCGAAAUUCAUUUUACGGGUUGUCAUUCAAUGCAUCCUUGACAAAUUGCCUUUAUUUCAAAAUUCAGUUCGAAAUUUAUCCUUCCAUCUAAACAGUGGCAAUUAUAAACUUUGUGAGCUAAUUUUAGUACUCUAGGGCAAAAUUGAUCAGGAUCCAAGAAUCAAGUGGGCCGCACUAAAGGAAAAGGUGGGUAGAGAAAUUCAAGCAUGUAUGCAAGUCAGUGGUUUAUAACUGUUUUCUCAUACUCUUUCCCUUUCCCCUUGGCUCUUCGAAUCUGGGACGUCUUUCUUUACGAGGUUAGUGUCUAAUUGUUCAUCUUAUAUGAUUUUUUAUUCCCUGUUUUAUCUUCCACAAUGCCAUUUUAGGGUCUGAAGUAAGACUGAUAUUAAAGGGGCAUGGA
Molecule: long non-coding RNA, 3034 nt
Organism: Magnolia sinica
Lineage: Eukaryota; Viridiplantae; Streptophyta; Magnoliopsida; Magnoliales; Magnoliaceae
Exons: 8
Source: RefSeq, a predicted model, not a curated record